RNAcentral lists this long non-coding RNA (1686 nucleotides) under Canis lupus familiaris (dog). RNAcentral's name for it is "lncRNA (ENSCAFG00000056059.1)". The record is from RNAcentral. Lineage: Eukaryota; Metazoa; Chordata; Mammalia; Carnivora; Canidae.
UUUUUUUUUUUUUUUUUUUUUUUUUUUGGUAUUUCCCUAUCCACAUUGUAUUAAAUAAAAGAAGAAAAGAAACAGUUGAAUUGCUAGUAAGAAUCCUGGAGCAGUGCUAUCCUCUGCAAUGAUGAUAAUGCUCUAUAAUCUGUGCUGCUCAACACAGUAGCUCUAAGCCACAAGUGGUUAUUGAGCACUUGAAGUGUGGUUAGUGUGACUGAGAACUGAAUUUUAAUUUUAUGUCAUUUGAAGUAAAUAGCCACGUGUGACUUCUGGCCACUACAUUGGACAGUGCAGACAUAGAGUGGCUGCCUUUCAUAAACACACCUAUAGCUGUGCCCCUCCACGCUCCUCUUUUAUUAACAGUGUCCUGUUUUCAUUGAGGGCGGUCCCCUGCCUGCACUGCCUGCGGUCUUUUGGGGGCAGCUCACAAAGUUGCUCUACUCUUUUCCAGCCAAUGGGGUGGGCCCAGAACCCGAACUCAGUCAACCAGACUCUCCAGGAAUCUGACUGUGGCUCCAGUGUCGCAAGAAAAUGAGUUGGAGCAGAUUAAUACCAAUGUUGAUUCCCUAAGACACUGCGUAUUAGUUUCCAGAACAUUAAUCCCUGGUGUGACAAUAAUAAGUGAGAUAUGAUGUGACCUAGGCAUCAUUACCAUCAUCAUCCCUGUCAUCAUCCAAGUACCUCAUCAGUACCUAUCAGUCCUGACAUGCCAGCUCCUAAACUAGAUACUUAAGCUGCCUAGCUUCCCCCUGCAUCAUUUCUCUGUCUCUAAAAUGGAAAUAAACUCAUCCAAAUUUCUUCCAGAGUCUUUGUAAAGGCAGCAAAAGAAAUAUUAGUCAUAAGAGCUUUGAGCCAAAUGAGGGAGUAACCAAAUUGUCAUUAGAGGUGUUGUUUCCUGGGAUAGGUAUGGGGACCUGUGGGAGGGUCUGAAGCAAGACCCAAGAUCUGGGCCCAGUUCACAAGCUGUGUGACCCUAGGCAAGAUACUUGUCCUUUCCUUUCUCAGCUUUCUGCUAAAAUGAAAUUAAGACAUAUCCCUCUCUAGUUUCACCACUUUCUCAUCUAUUUACACACCCCUCCCACCUUGCCUGACACCUGUCCCCUCCUCUUUCUACAAAUAUGUCCCAGAAAAUCCUCUAGGCUAGAUCAUGCUGGCCUUGUACCGAAUUCAUUUCUUCUUUCCCCAGCAACCCACUUAACUGGCAAGUUGCCCCGGGUAUGUACUCUCAUAGCUUCCUAGACUAAGCCUCUGACAAAGCACUUUACUAGAAUCAUGUUUAACCAUCUCCUCCAGUAGUAGACCAUAAGCCUUGCCAGGGCAAGGCUCACAUUCCUCUUGUCCACCAUUGAAUCCCCAGUGCCUAGUACAGAGCCGGGCACACAGAAGGUGCUCAGUAACUACUUCCUGGUGGAAUGUUUUAAUAAAUACUCCAAAUCCAUUUUAUUAUUUGUCAUUUCAGGAAGUAUCAUUUCACAGGAUUAAUCAUCGAACGCUGCCUAACAAAGUACCCCAAAACUUACUGGCUUAAAACAACAACGAUUGCUUCUUAUCUCUCAAUCUCUGUGGGAGAGAAACUCUGACAGGGCACAGUGAGGUUAGCUUGUCUCUGCCCCACGUCUAGGACCCCGGCUGGAAGACUCAAAGUUGGUGGUGGAGUAAAAUCAGUUCACCACCUAUCUGAUGAGUGAUGUU